This 253-nucleotide ribosomal RNA is filed under the name uncultured bacterium. RNAcentral describes it as "partial 16S ribosomal RNA". It matches the Rfam family "Bacterial small subunit ribosomal RNA", at positions 524 to 776 of the family's 1533-position model. The record is from RNAcentral.
UACGAAGGGGGCUAGCGUUGUUCGGAAUUACUGGGCGUAAAGCGCGUGUAGGCGGGUCUUUAAGUCAGGGGUGAAAUGCCAAGGCUCAACCUUGGAACUGCCUUUGAUACUGGCGAGCUCGAGUCCGGGAGAGGUGAGUGGAACUGCGAGUGUAGAGGUGAAAUUCGUAGAUAUUCGCAAGAACACCAGUGGCGAAGGCGGCUCACUGGCCCGGUACUGACGCUGAGGUGCGAAAGCGUGGGGAGCAAACAGG